RNAcentral lists this microRNA precursor (84 nucleotides) under Bombyx mori (domestic silkworm). RNAcentral's name for it is "mir-2807 microRNA precursor family". It matches the Rfam family "mir-2807 microRNA precursor family". The record is from Rfam by way of RNAcentral. Lineage: Eukaryota; Metazoa; Arthropoda; Insecta; Lepidoptera; Bombycidae.
GAAACUCAAAUAUGUAUGGGAUUGCAACGUUUGCCUACGUUUGUCGCUAGGGAAGCUGUUCCAGCCCCAUACAAAUUAGAGUUA